RNAcentral lists this ribosomal RNA (454 nucleotides) under uncultured eukaryote. RNAcentral describes it as "SSU rRNA". It matches the Rfam family "Eukaryotic small subunit ribosomal RNA", at positions 443 to 912 of the family's 1831-position model. The record is from RNAcentral.
GCCCAAUCCCCGAUUCGGGGGAGGCAGUGACAAGAAAUAACAACCCAGAACAUUGUUUCCGGGAUUGCAAUGAGAACAAUUUAAAAACCUUAUCGAGUACCAACUGGAGGGCAAGUUCUGGUGCCAGCAGCCGCGGUAAUUCCAGCUCCAGUAGCGUAUAUUAAAGUUGCUGCAGUUAAAAAGCUCGUAGUUGAAUUUUCUGUUUGUAAGAGUCGAAGCUUUACAGCUAAGAUUUCUUCGAACAUCUGUUUGCAAGCAUACGUUCGGCCUUCACUGGUUGGCUAUGUAAGCAAGCGCUUUACCUUGAGAAAAUUAGAGUGUUCCAGGCGAGGCUUCAGCCGGAAUACAUUAGCAUGGAAUAAUGGAAUAGGACUGGGGACUAUUUAUUGGUUUGAGGCUCCAGUAAUGAUUAAUAGGAACAGGUCGGGGGCAUUGGUACUUAACAGUCAGAGGU